UCAAAGAUGAUACUCCUCUUCCCAGCCCCCACUUCUUUUCCUUUUUUUUUUCUGCUUUGAACAUAAGAUGACUUUUAUUCCUCUGUCCCUCUUCAGAAAUGGCUGAUCCCCUAGUAUGCAGAAAUUAUUGAAGGACCCCCUCAAUUCUUUGAAAAACUGCAAUAUUAUUUUCAAUUUUGCCAUUUACUCCACCACAGCUCAAUCAUUUCAAGGUCUCCUUAUUUGCAUGGAAGGAAUGGCUGAAAGUAAUUAAUAAGGACUCUUUGAAAACUUUUGAUGACAAGUUUGUUGAGAAAUAUAAAUAUGGAAGCUGCUAUCAUUUAUUUUUCUAAAAAUCAUUGCCAUGAAAAGAGUGAAAAACCUCAUUUUUCCCCAGAAACUUUGCUUUUAGAUUGAAAAAUGAAAAUUGAUUACAAGGCAAGUCAACAUGAACACAGUGUGUACCAGAUGAGGUUUCCACAUGACAACAGAAGAGGCAGAUUAGGGAGAAAUAAGGGACAGACAUCAAAGUUUAAACUGCAAAGCCUUUUGGGGUUAUCUGAAAACAAUGUCAAAUUUUAUUUUGUGACUCUGGAAAAAUGGUAGCUGAUAAAUAUAAUUUACUGUCACUACUUAAGUCAGUUGUGAUGAUCAAGAUGUUUCCUUAUUCUUUAUUCUGGGACUUAUGGGCAAGCAAGAUCAUCUGCAGGGUAAAGAACUGCACCACGAGUGUUAGGAGACCAGGUUCUACUCCUGUGUCUGCCACACUGACGAUGUAACUGCAGGAGGACUCCAAACCUCUGAGUCUCACCAGCCUUAGAGUAGAAAGGUGUAGGAAGACCACAGCACUAGGAAAACACAUGGGUUACUGAAAAAAAAAAGUCACCAUCUUCUAUUGCUUUCCCAGGCCAUCAGCAGAGAGCUGGAUUGGAAGUGGAGCAACUGGAACUGAAACCAGCACCAGUAUGGAAUGCCAGCACUGCAGACGGUGGCUUUACCCACUACACCACAGCACCAACCCCUCCCUCUGGAGAAGGAGAUAUUGGACAAGAUGAAUAAUGACCUAUAAAGCCAUCAGAAGAGCCACAUCUGAUCUCAUCCCCAAGACUAUGUACUCUGCAAUUCAUGUAUCAGAUAGAAUUCAUAGCCUAGGAUUUUGCCAAGAGAGAAAAAGUCAAAGGUGGACUCUCAGGGAGCUGGAUCAGAAGUGGAGCAGCCAGAACUUCAACUGGCACUCAUAACAGAUGCUGAUAUCUCAAGUGGUGGCUUAACCUGGAAUACCAUAACACUAGCCCCUAUGUUUCUGAUAUUCAAGGUGGGUAUUACUUUGUGUGUGUGGGGGGCAUGCUUGUUGUGGCAAUCACGGAUGCAAAUCUAUGACCAUUUUAUUCUGUGAUAUCUAUUAGCAUGUUAUGUCUAUGUCAGAUCACGUAAUGAAAAUCAUCAUCACUUUACUUUGUUUGACUUGUGAAAACCUCAUAACACACCAAGCUUCCUCCAAAUAUUUGUUGCAUAUAUUGAUAUUCAUUUCACUGAGCUUGAAGGUUUACUGAUCUAGAAUCUCUUUCUAAAGGGAAGUAUGGACAGAGGCAACAUCUAAAGAUCAAAUCAGAGAAUGACUUCUUAAUAGCUGUUAAUCAGUGAACAUAGGAUCCGGCCUGCUGGAAAAAGACAUUGAAGAGGGAGGAAAAUAUAGAGUCAGGGGCCCCAGAACAACACCAAAGACAAACUCUAUGUUGUUUUUGUCUGAUAUCGACCAUGAUCUAUUUGUAACAUGGCCUUAACCUGAGAACAACUAAAUAUGCAAAGACAACAUCAUGAAUUGUUAAAUUUUAUGAUUUAUAUAUAUAUAUGUGUGUGUGUGUGUGUAUUUUAUAGCACAUUCUAUGGUUUGAAUUGUUUUCCAUACCACGUGCAAUGAAACUUUAAGGUUUGAACCACAUAAUGUGAUCUUAUUUGGAUAUAUGUCACUGGAGAUAUGAUUAGUUAAAUUAAAAUGAAGUAAUAUUGGAGUGAAAUGGUCCUCUAGUCCAGUAUGACUAAAAACCAUGCCAUUCAAAAAA
Oryctolagus cuniculus (rabbit) is the source of this 2042-nucleotide non-coding RNA. The record is from RefSeq and is a predicted model, not a curated record. NCBI's taxonomy places the organism in Eukaryota, Metazoa, Chordata, Mammalia, Lagomorpha, Leporidae.